CAUGUAUAAAUGCUUAUCGGUCGUCCCACUGUCUAUAUCACUCUGUUCAGCUCUUAAUAUUAUUCCGUAUCAUGUCUUUGUGACGUCAAAUACGUUGACCCGGCCUUAAUAACUUUGACCCGGACAUAUCAGCGACGUCAUAAUGUUUGAACCGACGUUAAUAACUUUGACCCGAACUUAUCAAGUCAUCUUUUGUGUGCUGGUGAAACAAAGAAAACACUUCUGAAACACGCAAAUAUAGCCCGAUAAAUCGAUUAUCAGAUUAUCUGCAUAUUGAUAUUGUAAAAUAUCAGCUGCUUGACAUUAUAUGAAGGCGUUUUGAUCUCGUUCGCUACGCUCACUCGACAAAAAGCUUCAUAUUAUGUCUCGCAACUGAUAUUUUACGAUAUCAACAUGCAGAUAACCUGAUAAUCGGUACAUAUUCA
RNAcentral lists this long non-coding RNA (425 nucleotides) under Mytilus galloprovincialis (Mediterranean mussel). The record is from RNAcentral. Lineage: Eukaryota; Metazoa; Mollusca; Bivalvia; Mytilida; Mytilidae.